ACUGACCUAGCUCAGUCAGUAAAGAAUCUGCCUGCAAUGCAGGAGAUCAGGGUUCAAUCCCUGGGUCAGGA
RNAcentral lists this transfer RNA (71 nucleotides) under Bos taurus (domestic cattle). It matches the Rfam family "tRNA". From Rfam's summary of the family: Transfer RNA (tRNA) molecules are approximately 80 nucleotides in length. Their secondary structure includes four short double-helical elements and three loops (D, anti-codon, and T loops). Lineage: Eukaryota; Metazoa; Chordata; Mammalia; Artiodactyla; Bovidae. The record is from Rfam by way of RNAcentral. RNAcentral also lists the same sequence under 5 other names.